Molecule: long non-coding RNA, 1189 nt
Organism: Brassica rapa (field mustard)
Lineage: Eukaryota; Viridiplantae; Streptophyta; Magnoliopsida; Brassicales; Brassicaceae
Source: RefSeq, a predicted model, not a curated record
GGAAGAAACAUAUGAGAGAGAGUUGAUAAGAUGCUGAGUCAUGGAAGACACGGCUCGUCGCCGAUCUGUCCUUUUUUUUUUAAAUAUUAUUUCAUUUCAUCUGAGCCACAACGACAUCGGAAGUCUCUUCCUUGUUCAGCGGUUCCCUAAAGUUAACCCACCAUCGUUAACCAUCCUUGAACUGGUGUCGUUUCAAGACGGUGCUUGACAAGUUGACAUGGAACAAAGCGAGGUCGUUUUUGUAUUGCUUACCUUUGUCUCUUGAUUACCCUAAUGGGCCAGUAAUCCAUAUAUGGGGCUUUUAUUAUAGUCAACUUUAUAGACUUGGAUAGUUUAUUUAUUUAUUUUUAGCCUAAACUCUUAAAAAUGAUGAAAUAGAAUUCUGUAGUUCAAAUAACGACUCGAAGUUGAUAGGGAAAAAUUCAAUGAGAUGAUUAAUUAUUUUCUAACCUAUUUAAAAUAAAGUUGACUAAAAGGCAAAAAUGUGCAUAUUUAAAAGAUGACCUAUAUAAACAAUAUUUUUCGAGCCACAUAAAAGUUAUAGAAUAAUGCUCGUUGUUACCCUGUUAUUUUCUUAUUAUUUAGGAGAUUAACUAUUUUGUACAAAAAGUCAAUUCAUAGUUAUUUUCGCAAGUGGCAAGCUUUCUUAAUCAAAUAAUCAAUGAAUGAAAGCCUAUCUGCCCUUUCUUACGCCAUACAAUAUAAUUACAAAAGCAAGUUACAUAAACCAAGUUGACCUCACUUGACAAUGACGAUUUAUGAAAGAGCAGCUGUCUUAAAGACUUCCUAAUUUGACAGAAGAGGAUGUACGGAACAUAACAAGGACAUCAAAUCAUAUACAUUCAUAAAGUUUUAUUUAUUUAAGUUGACAUAAAGUUUUUAAGCAUUUAUCCAGAUGACAUAAGUUAUACAGAUGUCUUGAAGACAUUUGAUAUUUGGGGAAUAAAUGGUCAGAGACCACAGUUAUUGAGGCAUCCAUGUACUGUAUUCGACAAUACGCUGACGUUGAAAAACGGUAUACUUAAAGGAGGAGUAACUAAUGAACAAAAUAAUUGUGAGUGUGAAUGUGAGUAGGGUUGAGCAUACAUGUAUUCGGAUUGAUUCCCGGUAGGAUCCCAACGGAUUCGGAUCUCUCAUGUUCAUGUAAAUGAAUUUUAUACCUAUAUAGUACCGAUUGUACUUUGGUUCA